UGCCUUAAACAAUUCUCUACGACGGGUUAAACAACCGCCCUUCACUUUUAAUAGGCACUAUUACGGUGGGAACUCACUUUUCAAUAUGUGAAAUUAAACAGUUCCCUCCCUCUUAAGAUUUAGGUCAAGAUGACUUAGCCAUUCGUCUUAUUCACGUUUGCAUUUCUCAAAGAACAAAUAAGAAAAAUUUCAGUACCCAUUCGUAAACGAAAAGUUCUCUAAAACCCUAAAAUUCCUCCCCUUCGGUUCACCUCCUUCUCCUCACCGCCAUCUCAUGACACCACUUAUGUACCACCAAUAAUCCUCACCGCCAUCUCAUGACACCACUUAUGUACCACCAAUAACCGACGGCCGCUCAACUCCACCCAGAACACUAGGCCAAAAUCGAAUUCUUGUCAAACCCAUAACACUUUGGCUGGCUAGGAGCCUAGGACAAAUCAAAGCGCCUCCACUGGUUGGAAACCUGGCGCCUCCACUGGUUGGUUCUCAAACAGGAAAACUCUUCUGGUUCAAGGACCAAUCCCCGCCGCCACACAUUCAUAUGUACCUAAUCUCUGUAUACACCUGCCUCACUGUAAAGUGUAAAGACGCCGAUGGCGUUAGCCUCCGUCUUUGAACUCUCGACGUCGGAGUCCACCAUGUUCUUUAUUGCUGAUAAAGAUAAAGAAGAUUGGAUAUUAGAAGGGCGCGAUUACUCUUGGGUUGAGAGCUCUUAAUGCUUAUGAGGGUAAAAUUUUAUUAAAUAGGCAUCAUCAGAAACGAGUUCGAAUUCAGCAGAUGGAAGAAAAUAAUAUGAAGAGAUGAGAACUAGGGGAAGAGGAUUAAAGCUUCAAGAGCCACAAUCCUCACUUUCUGAUAAUGUUAGCAUACCAGAAGCAACAAAUAGCAGCGCGUGUAUUGGGAAAUCUACAUGGAAAAGAGUUUUUGAUUCCCUCAAGCAGGUUGAGUACUUAAAUUCCAUAGCAUAUCCGAUAGUAGCUGGGAAAAAGUUACUUAAAAAGGGAUCCAUACAAAGUGGGUGUUUGUAAAAAGGAGUCUUAAAGCCAUUGGUUUGGGUGCUUUCUAAAUGUCAGACUCAUUUGAUGAUAUUUGAAUAUCAAAAGGAACUUGGUACUUACUCAGCUAUGAAAGUAUGCACAUGAGCAGAGUUAGAAUGAUUUUUUAGUAUAACUUUUUUAAUUAAAUAUCAUGAGAUGAUUUGU
Long non-coding RNA from Vicia villosa (hairy vetch), 1202 nucleotides. RefSeq lists it as uncharacterized. The transcript has 6 exons. NCBI's taxonomy places the organism in Eukaryota, Viridiplantae, Streptophyta, Magnoliopsida, Fabales, Fabaceae. The record is from RefSeq and is a predicted model, not a curated record.